This 253-nucleotide ribosomal RNA is filed under the name uncultured bacterium. RNAcentral's name for it is "partial 16S ribosomal RNA". It matches the Rfam family "Bacterial small subunit ribosomal RNA", at positions 524 to 776 of the family's 1533-position model. The record is from RNAcentral.
UACGGAGGGAGCUAGCGUUGUUCGGAAUUACUGGGCGUAAAGCGCACGUAGGCGGCUACUCAAGUCGGAGGUGAAAGCCCGGGGCUCAACCCCGGAACUGCCUUUGAAACUAGGUAGCUAGAAUCUUGGAGAGGUCAGUGGAAUUCCGAGUGUAGAGGUGAAAUUCGUAGAUAUUCGGAAGAACACCAGUGGCGAAGGCGACUGACUGGACAAGUAUUGACGCUGAGGUGCGAAAGCGUGGGGAGCAAACAGG